RNAcentral lists this ribosomal RNA (254 nucleotides) under uncultured bacterium. RNAcentral's name for it is "partial 16S ribosomal RNA". It matches the Rfam family "Bacterial small subunit ribosomal RNA", at positions 524 to 776 of the family's 1533-position model. The record is from RNAcentral.
UACGGGGGGUGCGAGCGUUGUCCGGAAUUAUUGGGCGUAAAGAGCUCGUAGGCGGUGUGUCGCGUCGGCCGUGAAAACCUGCAGCUUAACUGUGGGCUUGCGGUCGAUACGGGCAUCACUGGAGUUCGGCAGGGGAGACUGGAAUUCCUGGUGUAGCGGUGAAAUGCGCAGAUAUCAGGAGGAACACCGGUGGCGAAGGCGGGUCUCUGGGCCGAUACUGACGCUGAGGAGCGAAAGCGUGGGGAGCGAACAGG